RNAcentral lists this ribosomal RNA (253 nucleotides) under uncultured bacterium. RNAcentral describes it as "partial 16S ribosomal RNA". It matches the Rfam family "Bacterial small subunit ribosomal RNA", at positions 524 to 776 of the family's 1533-position model. The record is from RNAcentral.
UACGUAGGGGGCUAGCGUUGUCCGGAAUCAUUGGGCGUAAAGCGCGCGUAGGCUGUCAGUUAAGUCUGGUGUGAAAGUCAAAGGCUCAACCUUUGAAUGCCGCUGGAAACUGGCUGACUUGAGUCCGGAAGGGGCGAGUGGAAUUCCAGGUGUAGCGGUGAAAUGCGUAGAUAUCUGGAGGAAUACCGGUGGCGAGGGCGGCAUCCUGGACCGAGAUUGACGCUGAUGAGCGAAAGCUAGGGGAGCAAACGGG